This 443-nucleotide ribosomal RNA is filed under the name uncultured bacterium. RNAcentral's name for it is "partial 16S ribosomal RNA". It matches the Rfam family "Bacterial small subunit ribosomal RNA", at positions 338 to 795 of the family's 1533-position model. The record is from RNAcentral.
CCUACGCGGCGCAGCAGUGGGGAAUAUUGGGCAAUGGAGGCAACUCUGACCCAGCAACGCCGCGUGAAUGAUGAAGGUCUUCGGAUUGUAAAGUUCUGGGAUGGGGGAUGAACACAAUGACGGUACCCCAAUAGCAAGCCAAGGCUACUUACGUGCCAGCAGCAGCGGUAAUCCGUAGGUGGCAAGCGUGAUCCGGAAUGACUGGGCGUAAAGGGUGCGUAGGUGGUUUAGUAAGUUGGCGGUGUAAUGCCGGGGCUCAACCUCGGCGCUACCGCCAAAACUAUUAGACUAGAGUGCAGGAGGGGUAAGUGGAAUUCCUGGUGUAGCGGUGGAAUGCGUAGAUAUUAGGAGGAACAUCAGGGGCGAAGGCGACUUACUGGACUGUAACUGACACUGAGGCACGAAAGCGUGGGGAGCAAACAGGAUUAGAUACCCUUGUAGUC